Molecule: non-coding RNA, 2331 nt
Organism: Marmota flaviventris (yellow-bellied marmot)
Lineage: Eukaryota; Metazoa; Chordata; Mammalia; Rodentia; Sciuridae
Source: RefSeq, a predicted model, not a curated record
CUGGGAGCUCAGGGAGCGCCGAGCGAUAAGGAGGCGGCGGCGCCGCUGGUUUUGCACCUGAUCACCUUUCUAGCAGGAGAACGAUCAUGGAGGUGGUGCCAGCUGAGGUGAAUAGUUUGCUUCCAGAGGAGAUAAUGGACACUGGUAUAACUUUAGUGGAUGAUGAUAGUAUUGAGGCUGUUAUUGUUUCAUCCCCAAUUCCCAUGGAGACAGAACUGGAAGAAAUUGUCAACAUAAAUUCUACUGGUGACUCUACAGCCACACCCAUUUCCUCGGAACCAAUCACAGUGUACAGUAACCACACUAACCAAGUUGCAGUGAAUACCACAAUUACUAAAUCAGAUUCUAAUACCACAGUGAAACCAGCUUUUCCAAGUGACCUUCAAAAACUUGGUGCUCAGACUCCUGUGACUAUAUCAGCCAAUCAGAUUAUUUUAAACAAACAGACAUCUGAUCUUAAACUUGGCAAUCAGACCCUUAAACCAGAUGGACAGAAGUUAAUUUUAACAACUUUGGGCAAGUCUGGUUCACCAAUUGUUUUAGCUCUACCCCAUAGUCAACUACCCCAAGCUCAGAAAGUUACAACUCAGUCCCAGUCAAGAGAUGCUAACUUACCACCACAGCAAAUUAAAGUAGUUACCAUUGGAGGGAGGCCAGAGGUGAAACCUGUCAUUGGUGUCUCAGCAUUGACCCCAGGAAGUCAACUGAUCAAUACUACAACUCAUCCCUCUGUGUUACAGACCCAACAGUUAAAAACAGUACAGAUUGCUAAGAAGCCUCGAACACCAACCUGUGGUCCAGUAAUCAUGAAGCUGAUCUUUGCAAAACCAAUUAAUAGUAAAGCAGUUACAGGACAGACAACUCAAGUAUCACCAUCAGUCAUUGCAGGUAGGGUACUUUCACAGUCUACUCCUGGAACUCCAUCAAAGACCAUUACAAUAUCAGAAAGUGGUGUUAUUGGAUCAACUUUAAAUUCUACAACACAGACACCAAAUAAAAUAGCCAUCUCACCUUUGAAAUCGCCAAAUAAGGCAGUGAAAUCUGCUGUGCAGACCAUCACUGUUGGAGGAGUGAGCACAUCAAAGUUUAAGACAAUUAUUCCUCUGGCAAGUGCUCCCAAUGUCCAGCAGAUUCAAGUGCCUGGAAGCAAGUUUCAUUAUGUCUGACUUGUUACUGCCACAACAGCCAGUAGCUCAACCCAACCAGUUAGUCAGAAUCCCAGUACAAACACUCAGCCUCUUCAGCAAGCAAAGCCAGUGGUUGUUAAUACAACCCCAGUGCGGAUGUCAGUUCCAUUUGUCCAAGCUCAGGCUGUCAAACAAUUUGUCCCCAAACCCAUCAAUCCAACUUCACAAAUAGUAACUACUAGCCAACCACAGCAACGGCUUAUCAUGCCUGCUACCCCACUGCCACAGAUCCAGCCCAACCUCACUAACCUGCCACCAGGUACUGUCCUGGCACCAGCUCCAGGAACAGGGAAUGUGGGUUAUGCAGUGCUUCCAGCUCAGUACGUUACUCAGCUACAGCAGUCUUCAUAUGUGUCUAUAGCAAGCAACUCUAAUUUUACUGGAACAUCUGGUAUCCAGACCCAGGCAAGACUCCCAUUCAAUGGCAUAAUUCCAUCAGAAUCUGCCAGUCGGCCAAGAAAACCCUGCAACUGUACAAAAUUGCUGUGUUUGAAAUUGUACUGUGACUGCUUUGCAAAUGGCGAAUUUUGCAACAAUUGCAACUGUACUAAUUGUUACAACAAUUUGGAACAUGAAAAUGAAAGGCAAAAAGCAAUAAAGGCAUGACUUGACAGAAAUCCAGAAGCUUUUAAGCCUAAGAUAGGGAAAGGAAAGGAGGGAGCCAUCAGAUCGAAGUCACAGCAAAGGAUGUCAUUGCAAACGAUCAGGAUGUCUUAAAAACUACUGUGAAUGCUAUGAGGCAAAAAUAAUGUGUUCCUCAAUAUGUAAAUGUAUUGGCUGUAAGAAUUUUGAAGAAAGCCCAGAAAGAAAGACAUUGUUGCAUUUGGCAGAUGCAGCUGAAGUAAGGGUGCAGCAACAAACAGCAGCGAAGACGAAAUUAUCCUCUCAGAUUUCAGACUUACUUACUAGGCCAACACCAGCUUUGAAUAGUGGAGGAGGAAAGUUGCCAUUUACAUUUGUAACUAAGGAAGUAGCUGAAGCCACAUGUAAUUGCCUUCUCGCCCAGGCACAGCAGGCAGACAAGAAGGGAAAAUCAAAGGCAGCAGCAGAGCGGAUGAUUCUUGAGGAAUUCGGAGGAUGUUUGAUGAGCGUCAUCAACUCUGCAGGAAAAGCAAAAAGUGACCCUUGUGCCAUGAAUUGCUAA